Molecule: long non-coding RNA, 739 nt
Organism: Gopherus flavomarginatus (Mexican gopher tortoise)
Lineage: Eukaryota; Metazoa; Chordata; Testudines; Testudinidae
Exons: 2
Source: RefSeq, a predicted model, not a curated record
UCAGAUCCAGUAUCUCCCGUAUGGUCCAUGCUGGAGCUCUUUUUGGAUUUGGGACUGCAUCGCCACCCAUGCUGAUCAAAGCUCCAUGCUGGGCAAACAGGAAAUGAAAUUCAAAUGUUCACGGGGCUUUUCCUGUCUACUUGGCCUCUGCAUCCGAGUUCAGAUUGCUGUCCAGAGCGGUCACAAUGGUGCACUGUGGGAUACUGCCCAGAGGCUAAUACCGUCAAUUUGCAGCCACUCUAACCCUAAUCCGAUAUGGUAAUACCAAUUUCAGCGCUACUCCUCUCGUCGGGGAGGAGUACAGAAACCGGUUUAAAGAGCCCUUCAUAUCGAUAUUAAGGGCCUCGUUGUGUGGACAGGUGCAGUGUUAAAUUGGUUUAACGCUGCUAAAAUCGGCUUAAACGCGUAGUGUAGACCAGGCCUUAGACUAAUAUUGUGAGACCUGUAGAAGCAGGGCUCACAUCAGAAGUGAGUGGAAAACAGCAGAAUAGUCAGUGUGACCUAGCCUUGAAAUAACGAUGUUUGAGAAGAGAAAGUUAGAAAAUACUAGAAUAGAUAGCAAACCACCUAAAUAAAAUGCAGAUGUUUUUAAUUAAUGCACGUCACAAAGAGGUAUAAAUGCUUGUGUGAUUUUGCUUGUACUUUGGAGAAACUGAGGCAGAGAUGCUCUGUGUCAGUUGUGUCUUUCCCUUGCAAUUGCAUGUUCUGUAUAAAGCUGUCUCUGAUUUUGUUGCUUUAA